GACGAACGCUGGCGGCGUGCCUAAUACAUGCAAGUAGAACGCACAGUUUAUACCGUAGCUUGCUACACCAUAAACUGUGAGUUGCGAACGGGUGAGUAACGCGUAGGUAACCUGCCUGGUAGCGGGGGAUAACUAUUGGAAACGAUAGCUAAUACCGCAUAAUAUUAAUUAUUGCAUGAUAAUUGAUUGAAAGAUGCAAUUGCAUCACUACCAGAUGGACCUGCGUUGUAUUAGCUAGUAGGUGAGGUAACGGCUCACCUAGGCGACGAUACAUAGCCGACCUGAGAGGGUGAUCGGCCACACUGGGACGGAGACACGGCCCAGACUCCUACGGGAGGCAGCAGUAGGGAAUCUUCGGCAAUGGACGAAAGUCUGACCGAGCAACGCCGCGUGAGUGAAGAAGGUUGUCGGAUCGUAAAGCUCUGUUGUAAGAGAAGAACGGGUGUGAGAGUGGAAAGUUCACACUGUGACGGUAUCUUACCAGAAAGGGACGGCUAACUACGUG
This 505-nucleotide ribosomal RNA is filed under the name uncultured bacterium. RNAcentral describes it as "partial 16S ribosomal RNA". It matches the Rfam family "Bacterial small subunit ribosomal RNA", at positions 28 to 507 of the family's 1533-position model. The record is from RNAcentral.